CGGUGCGUCGAUUAGCAUGCGAGUAGAUGAAUUAGAUUCAUUGCAAACUGCUCAGUAACACGUGGAUAACCUGCCCUAUGCUCUGGGAUAACCUCGGGAAACUGAGAAUAAUACCGGAUAGAUCACAACGCCUGGAACGGUGUGUGGUUGAAAGGUUACGGCAUAGGAUGGGUCUGCGGCGUAUCAGGUCGUAGGGGGUGUAAUGGACCCCCUAGCCAUCGACGCGUACGGGUGUUGGGAGACAUAGCCCGGAGACGGAUUCUGAGACACGAAUCCGGACCCUACGGGGUGCAGCAGGCGCGAAAACUUCACACUGCAGGAAACUGUGAUGAGGGAACUCCAAGUGGAUGCACAUAGUGUAUCUCUUUUCUUUACUAUUAAUCGGUAUUGGAAUAAGGGCUGGGAAAGACCGGUGCCAGCCGCCGCGGUAAUACCGGCAGCUCGAGUGGUCGUCGCUUUUAUUGGGCCUAAAACGUCCGUAGCCGGUUUGGUAAAUCUGUGGGUAAAUCAACUAGCUUAACUAGUUGAAUUCUGCAGAGACUGCCAGACUAGGAACCGGGAGAGGUGUGGGGUACUCAAGGGGUAGGGGUAAAAUCCUGUCAUCCUUUGAGGACCACCAGUUGCGAAAGGCGCCACACUAGAACGGAUUCGACGGUCAGGACGAGCCUAUGGGCACGACCGGAUUAGAUACCCGGGUAGUUCUUAGUUGUUAACGCUGUGACUGCUGUCGCAGUUCGCAUUGGUCCUCGGUGACUGAGUGAAUAUGUUUAAGU
RNAcentral lists this ribosomal RNA (773 nucleotides) under uncultured archaeon. RNAcentral describes it as "bacterial SSU rRNA". It matches the Rfam family "Archaeal small subunit ribosomal RNA", at positions 34 to 821 of the family's 1478-position model. The record is from RNAcentral.